CUUGCUUCUCUUGAGAGCGGCGGACGGGUGAGUAAUGCCUAGGAAUCUGCCUGGUAGUGGGGGAUAACGUCCGGAAACGGACGCUGAUACCGCAUACGUCCUACGGGAGAAAGCAGGGGACCUUCGGGCCUUGCGCUAUCAGAUGAGCCUAGGUCGGAUUAGCUAGUUGGUGGGGUAAUGGCUCACCAAGGCGACGAUCCGUAACUGGUCUGAGAGGAUGAUCAGUCACACUGGAACUGAGACACGGUCCAGACUCCUACGGGAGGCAGCAGUGGGGAAUAUUGGACAAUGGGCGAAAGCCUGAUCCAGCCAUGCCGCGUGUGUGAAGAAGGUCUUCGGAUUGUAAAGCACUUUAAGUUGGGAGGAAGGGCAGUAAAUUAAUACUUUGCUGUUUUGACGUUACCGACAGAAUAAGCACCGGCUAACUCUGUGCCAGCAGCCGCGGUAAUACAGAGGGUGCAAGCGUUAAUCGGAAUUACUGGGCGUAAAGCGCGCGUAGGUGGUUCGUUAAGUUGGAUGUGAAAUCCCCGGGCUCAACCUGGGAACUGCAUUCAAAACUGACGAGCUAGAGUAUGGUAGAGGGUGGUGGAAUUUCCUGUGUAGCGGUGAAAUGCGUAGAUAUAGGAAGGAACACCAGUGGCGAAAGCGACCACCUGGACUGAUACUGACACUGAGGUGCGAAAGCGUGGGGAGCAAAC
Molecule: ribosomal RNA, 698 nt
Filed under: uncultured bacterium
Lineage: Bacteria
Description: bacterial SSU rRNA
Rfam family: Bacterial small subunit ribosomal RNA
Source: RNAcentral